This 403-nucleotide ribosomal RNA is filed under the name uncultured bacterium. RNAcentral describes it as "partial 16S ribosomal RNA". It matches the Rfam family "Bacterial small subunit ribosomal RNA", at positions 28 to 526 of the family's 1533-position model. The record is from RNAcentral.
GACGAACGCUGGCGGCGUGCCUAAUACAUGCAAGUCGAACGCACUGGGGACGGGUGAGUAACACGUGGGUAACCUCCCUUCAGAGGGGAUAACCCUUGGAAACAGGUGCUAAACCGAUACUGAUGGAUGGACCCGCGGGGCAUUAGCUACUUGGUGAGGUAACGGCUCACCAAGGCCACGAUGCAUAGCGGACCGAAGAGGGUGAUCAGCCACACGGGGACUGAGACACGGCCCAGACUCCUACGUGAGGCAGCAGUAGGGAAUCUUCGGCAAUGGACGAAAGUCUGACCGAGCAACGCCGCGUGAGUUAAGAAGGUUUUCGGAUCGUAAAUCUCUGUUGUUAGAGAAGCGUUAUCUAACCAGAAAGCCACGGCUAACUACGUUCCAGCAGCCGCGGUAAUAC